CGUACUUGUACUGAUUGAGAUUUUAACACGAAGUGAGUGGCGAACGGGUGAGUAACACGUGGGUAACCUGCCCAGAAGUAGGGGAUAACACCUGGAAACAGAUGCUAAUACCGUAUAACAGAGAAAACCGCAUGGUUUUCUUUUAAAAGAUGGCUCUGCUAUCACUUCUGGAUGGACCCGCGGCGUAUUAGCUAGUUGGUGAGGUAAAGGCUCACCAAGGCAGUGAUACGUAGCCGACCUGAGAGGGUAAUCGGCCACAUUGGGACUGAGACACGGCCCAGACUCCUACGGGAGGCAGCAGUAGGGAAUCUUCCACAAUGGACGCAAGUCUGAUGGAGCAACGCCGCGUGAGUGAAGAAGGGUUUCGGCUCGUAAAGCUCUGUUGUUAAAGAAGAACGUGGGUAAGAGUAACUGUUUACCCAGUGACGGUAUUUAACCAGAAAGCCACGGCUAACUACGUGCCAGCAGCCGCGGUAAUACGUAGGUGGCAAGCGUUAUCCGGAUUUAUUGGGCGUAAAGCGAGCGCAGGCGG
Molecule: ribosomal RNA, 532 nt
Filed under: Pediococcus pentosaceus
Lineage: Bacteria; Bacillati; Bacillota; Bacilli; Lactobacillales; Lactobacillaceae
Description: bacterial SSU rRNA
Rfam family: Bacterial small subunit ribosomal RNA
Source: RNAcentral